This 433-nucleotide ribosomal RNA is filed under the name uncultured bacterium. RNAcentral's name for it is "partial 16S ribosomal RNA". It matches the Rfam family "Bacterial small subunit ribosomal RNA", at positions 29 to 507 of the family's 1533-position model. The record is from RNAcentral.
AACGAACGCUGGCGGCAGGCCUAACACAUGCAAGUCGAGCGGACCUUUCGGGGUCAGCGGCGGACGGGUGAGUAACGCGUGGGAAUAUGCCCUUCUCAACGGGAUAGUCCUGGGAAACUGGGGGUAAUACCGUCUACGCCCUUUGGGGGAAAGCUUUAUCGGUGAAGGAUUAGCCCGCGUUGGAUUAGGUCGUUGGUGGCGUGAUGGCCUACCAACCCGACGAUCCAUAGCGGGUUCGAGCACAUGAUCAGCCACUCUGAGACUGAGACACGGCCCAGACUCCUACGCGAGGCAGAGGUGAGGAAUCUUAGACACCGGGGUCAACCCUGAGCUAGCCAUGCCUCGAGAGUGAUGAAGGCCUUAGAUGUGUAAAGCUCAAGCAUCUGGGAAGAUAAUGGCGGUACCAGCAGAAGAAUGCCCUGCUAACUCCGUG